AACAACUUAUACAUACACACACCAGUUCUCGUCCGAUCACUGAAGUUAAGCAACGUUGGACAGUACUUAGAUGGAUGACCGCUUGGGAAAGCCAUGUACUGUUGGCA
This is a non-coding RNA of Camponotus floridanus (Florida carpenter ant), 107 nucleotides long. The record is from Rfam. Lineage: Eukaryota; Metazoa; Arthropoda; Insecta; Hymenoptera; Formicidae.